Chanos chanos (milkfish) is the source of this 1020-nucleotide long non-coding RNA. RefSeq lists it as uncharacterized. The transcript has 3 exons. NCBI's taxonomy places the organism in Eukaryota, Metazoa, Chordata, Actinopteri, Gonorynchiformes, Chanidae. The record is from RefSeq and is a predicted model, not a curated record.
UACUACACACUUCCUACAUAAUGACACAGACCACUCCUAUAGUGUGAUGUGAAUACACUUUAUAUUUGUAACUAGGAGCAGGACGGUUAAACCAGUCUGAGUUUGAAAAGUCAUUGGUGUCGCGGAAUCCAAAGUCAACUCUGUCGAGGGGUCUCGUGGUCUUAACAAAAUGGUGUGACUGAUCGUUAACGCCUGCAGUUACGUGGUGAGGAGGAUCCGGGCUGCGGUGAGAGGAGGAGAGCAGCCGGUUAAACCCACCAAGGGAACAUGCAGUCAAAGUAAAGCCUGGAAGGAGACAGAGAUUCGGCCGGAGAAUGAACAGGCAGCUUUCCAUUCUCAGGCAGUAGAGGAGGGGACCAGACGCAGGCCUGAGCAGUGCAGGUCCUGACGCUAGAGAUGGAGAGCUGGCAAAGCCCAGGAGAGGAGAGGAGAAGAGAGGAGAGGAGAGGAGAGGAGGGGAGAGGGAGAAAGCUGGAGGGUAGAAGCUGACCCUUUGUUCUGGAGUCAUCAGGAGUUUGUGUUCAGAAUGUUCUGUUACUGAGUGUGUGGAAUAUAGCACUGCUCUCUGAGGGGGUGUGUGUGUGUGUGUGUGUAUUGUGAUGCCUUUGAUUAGCUCUGAGAAUCAGAGCAUCACACAUAACACACACACCUCGGCUGGAUUUCUGUUGUGACAACAACUGUGCAGAAAUACACUCACACACACUUUAUGCAAAAACUCUUUAACUCUCCUUUCCUGUUACCAGCUCUCACUGUACACACACACACACACAAAUACAUACACACAUACACAAACAUACAUACACACUGCACGCGCACACACACACACACACACACACACAGACACACACACACAUGCUGCUAGGCUCAGGGUUUGUAGAGUGACGUGUUUUUAAGCAGAGAGAAUGAAGUGUAGGAUGUAAAGCCUGAUGAGAAGGACUCAUCCACCACUGAUGACCAGUGACUCUGCUCUGAACCCUGUCACUGUCUUAACCAAUAAAACUGACAUGCCUUUAACUAUCA